Molecule: ribosomal RNA, 433 nt
Filed under: uncultured bacterium
Lineage: Bacteria
Description: partial 16S ribosomal RNA
Rfam family: Bacterial small subunit ribosomal RNA
Source: RNAcentral
AACGAACGCUGGCGGCAUGCCUAACACAUGCGAGUCGAACGAGACCUUCGGGUCUAGUGGCGCACGGGUGCGUAACGCGUGGGAACCUGCCCUUAGGUUCGGAAUACCUCCCCGACAGGGGUGCUAAUACCGGAUAAUGUCUUCGGACCAAAGAUUUAUCGCCUUUGGAUGGGCCCGCGUUGGAUUAGCUAGUUGGUAGGGUAAAAGCCUACCAAGGCGACGAUCCAUAGCUGGUCUGAGAGGAUGAUCAGCCACACUGGGACUGAGACACGGCCCAGACUCCUACGGGAGGCAGCAGUGGGGAAUAUUGGACAAUGGGCGAAAGCCUGAUCCAGCAACGCCGCGUGAGUGAUGAAGGCCUUAGGGUUGUAAAGCUCUUUUACCCGGGAUGAUAAUGACAGUACCGGGAGAAUAAGCUCCGGCUAACUCCGUG